Molecule: long non-coding RNA, 642 nt
Filed under: Homo sapiens (human)
Lineage: Eukaryota; Metazoa; Chordata; Mammalia; Primates; Hominidae
Description: ghrelin opposite strand/antisense RNA
Source: RNAcentral
ACUUGUUUUUCUUCCACCGCUGAGGCAAAUGCGGGGUGGCUGAUCACCUGGCAGACAUCUUAGGAAACAGGAGCACCGGUCUGGGAAACUGCUGGCCUGGCCUAACACCUGGCGCUGUGGUGCAGGCAAGAGGGCAGCCACUGAGGAUUCUUGAGGAGAGAGAGACCAUAGAAUGAAUGAAAGAGUUGGAAAGACUUUAAAGCUCUGGGAGGCUGAAUCCUUUAUUUCGCUGGAAGAAAAACUGAAUGCCAAGAGGGCCUCACUUUCCCCAAAGCUAUACAGCCAUCAGGGGCAAUGCUGGGAUUCCCCCAUGGAUCUCUUGACUCCUAAUACAGUGCUCUUUCUGAUAUGCCAUCUGGCUCCAUAAUGAACAUUGUGUUCCAGGAAAAUCAGUCUGCGCUGAACAGGAUGGAAUUGGGGCAGGACGUCCAGUGAGGAGGACAUUGAGGCAGUAGAGCAGUUGAUUGCCGAAUGACCACCUACCCUGACUUAAAAGAUCAACCUCAGGGAGGAUUGGAGCUUUCUAGAGUCUCUUGGGACAGCAGAAGCACAGGCCGGGUUGGACUGAAUCUUUAAGUGGACAUGAGGGACAAAGUACCUCCUGUUGGUAAACAUCUCACCACCAACCCACUGUGGUGGCUA